RNAcentral lists this unclassified non-coding RNA (204 nucleotides) under Hevea brasiliensis (rubber tree). Lineage: Eukaryota; Viridiplantae; Streptophyta; Magnoliopsida; Malpighiales; Euphorbiaceae. The record is from RNAcentral.
GGGAGAGAGGCUUUUUGAGGGUUGUAACCAGGCAUAUAUCCUCAAGUUCGACAAAGACACAACAGUUAUGCAGUUACCUAGUGAGUCUCAACAAUCAGACGAUAAGUCAUCUAGCGAUAGAAAAGAGAAAUCCGAUGUCAAAGAAGCUGCUGAUGAAGGAAAAUUUGUCAUUUCUACCAAUGGCUCCGACAAAAUGCAGGAAGA